CCUACGGGAGGCAGCAGUGGGGAAUAUUGGACAAUGGGCGAAAGCCUGAUCCAGCAAUGCCGCGUGUGUGAAGAAGGCCUUCGGGUUGUAAAGCACUUUAAGUUGGGAAGAAAAAGCUCUGGCUAAUAUCUAGAGCCUUGACGGUACCAACAGAAUAAGCACCGGCUAACUCUGUGCCAGCAGCCGCGGUAAUACAGAGGGUGCUAGCGUUAAUCGGAUUUACUGGGCGUAAAGCGUGCGUAGGCGGUUUGAUAAGUCGAUUGUGAAAGCCCCGGGCUUAACCUGGGAAUUGCAGUUGAUACUGUCAGACUAGAAAACGGUAGAGGGAGGCGGAACUCCAGGUGUAGCGGUGAAAUGCGUAGAUAUCUGGAAGAACACCGAUGGCGAAGGCAACCUCCUGGGCCUGUUUUGACGCUGAGGCACGAAAGCGUGGGUAGCAAACAGGAUUAGAUACCCUGGUAGUCCACGCCGUAAACGAUGAGAACUUGACGUUGGUUUGCUUAGCAAAUCGGUGUCGUAGCUAACGCGAUAAGUUCUCCGCCUGGGGAGUACGGCCGCAAGGUUGAAACUCAAAUGAAAUUGACGG
RNAcentral lists this ribosomal RNA (586 nucleotides) under uncultured bacterium. RNAcentral describes it as "bacterial SSU rRNA". It matches the Rfam family "Bacterial small subunit ribosomal RNA", at positions 338 to 916 of the family's 1533-position model. The record is from RNAcentral.